GCGAAAGUGGCGGAAUCUGGUAGACGCGCUGGACUUAGGAUCCAGUCCUUUCCGGGUGGGGGUUCAAAUCCCCCCUUUCGCA
RNAcentral lists this transfer RNA (82 nucleotides) under bacterium. Its description in RNAcentral is "tRNA-Leu". It matches the Rfam family "tRNA". From Rfam's summary of the family: Transfer RNA (tRNA) molecules are approximately 80 nucleotides in length. Their secondary structure includes four short double-helical elements and three loops (D, anti-codon, and T loops). Further hydrogen bonds mediate the characteristic L-shaped molecular structure. tRNAs have two regions of fundamental functional importance: the anti-codon, which is responsible for specific mRNA codon recognition, and the 3' end, to which the tRNAs corresponding amino acid is attached (by aminoacyl-tRNA synthetases). tRNAs cope with the degeneracy of the genetic code in two manners: having more than one tRNA (with a specific anti-codon) for a particular amino acid; and 'wobble' base-pairing, i.e. permitting non-standard base-pairing at the 3rd anti-codon position. RNAcentral also lists the same sequence under 1 other name. The record is from RNAcentral.